This 497-nucleotide ribosomal RNA is filed under the name uncultured bacterium. Its description in RNAcentral is "partial 16S ribosomal RNA". It matches the Rfam family "Bacterial small subunit ribosomal RNA", at positions 28 to 507 of the family's 1533-position model. The record is from RNAcentral.
GAUGAACGCUGGCGGCGUGCCUAAUACAUGCAAGUCGAGCGAACGGACGAGAAGCUUGCUUCUCUGAUGUUAGCGGCGGACGGGUGAGUAACACGUGGAUAACCUACCUAUAAGACUGGGAUAACUUCGGGAAACCGUAGCUAAUACCGGAUAAUAUUUUGAACCGCAUGGUUCAAAAGUGAAAGACGGUCUUGCUGUCACUUAUAGAUGGAUCCGCGCUGCAUUAGCUAGUUGGUAAGGUAACGGCUUACCAAGGCAACGAUGCAUAGCUGACCUGAGAGGGUGAUAGGCCACACUGGAACUGAGACACGGUCCAGACUCCUACGGGAGGCAGCAGUAGGGAAUCUUGCACAAUGGGCGAAAGCCUGACGGAGCAACGCCGCGUGAGUGAUGAAGGUCUUCGGAUCGUAAAACUCUGUUAUUAGGGAAGAACAUAUGUGUAAGUAACUGUGCACAUCUUGACGGUACCUAAUCAGAAAGCCACGGCUAACUACGUG